This 71-nucleotide transfer RNA is filed under the name Lasioglossum malachurum. RNAcentral describes it as "tRNA-Ala". Lineage: Eukaryota; Metazoa; Arthropoda; Insecta; Hymenoptera; Halictidae. The record is from RNAcentral.
AGGAUAUUAGUUAAAUUUAUAACAUUAAAUUUGCAAUUUAAAAUUGAUACUUAUACCAUACACAUAUCUUU